RNAcentral lists this ribosomal RNA (478 nucleotides) under uncultured bacterium. Its description in RNAcentral is "bacterial SSU rRNA". It matches the Rfam family "Bacterial small subunit ribosomal RNA", at positions 28 to 507 of the family's 1533-position model. The record is from RNAcentral.
GACGAACGCUGGCGGCGUGCUUAACACAUGCAAGUCGAACGGAGUUACGUAUGAAGUAUUCGGUACGGACUACAUAACUUAGUGGCGAACGGGUGAGUAACACGUGGGCAACCUGCCCUUAACCGGGGGAUAACAUUGUGAAAACAGUGCUAAUACCGCAUAACAGAGUAUCGGGCAUCCGAUAUUUUAAAAGGAGCAAUCCGGUUUAGGAUGGGCCCGCGUCCAAUUAGCUAGUUGGUGAGGUAACGGCUCACCAAGGCUACGAUUGGUAGCCGAACUGAGAGGUUGAUCGGCCACAUUGGGACUGAGACACGGCCCAGACUCCUACGGGAGGCAGCAGUGGGGAAUAUUGGGCAAUGGGCGAAAGCCUGACCCAGCGACGCCGCGUGAAGGAUGAAGGUCUUCGGAUUGUAAACUUCUUUGAUCAGGGAAGAAAGAAAUGACGGUACCUGAAGAACAAGCCACGGCUAACUACGUG